UGGGGAAUUUUGGACAAUGGGCGAAAGCCUGAUCCAGCAAUGCCGCGUGCAGGAAGAAGGCCUUCGGGUUGUAAACUGCUUUUGUACGGAACGAAAAGGCUCUUUCUAAUAAAGAGGGCCCAUGACGGUACCGUAAGAAUAGGCACCGGCUAACUACGUGCCAGCAGCCGCGGUAAUACGUAGGGUGCGAGCGCUAAUCGGAAUUACUGGGCGUAAAGCGUGCGCAGGCGGUUCUAUAAGACAGAUGUGAAAUCCCCGGGCUCAACCUGGGAAUGGCAUUUGUGACUGUAGAGCUAGAGUACGGUAGAGGGGGAUGGAAUUCCGCGUGUAGCAGUGAAAUGCGUAGAUAUGCGGAGGAACACCGAUGGCGAAGGCAAUCCCCUGGACCUGUACUGACGCUCAUGCACGAAAGCGUGGGGAGCAAACAGGAUUAGAUACCCCCGUAGUCCCUGAGCGGGCUGGCAAGGCGCAU
This 472-nucleotide ribosomal RNA is filed under the name uncultured bacterium. RNAcentral's name for it is "bacterial SSU rRNA". It matches the Rfam family "Bacterial small subunit ribosomal RNA", at positions 355 to 825 of the family's 1533-position model. The record is from RNAcentral.